Molecule: ribosomal RNA, 425 nt
Filed under: uncultured bacterium
Lineage: Bacteria
Description: partial 16S ribosomal RNA
Rfam family: Bacterial small subunit ribosomal RNA
Source: RNAcentral
GUGGGGAAUCUUGCGCAAUGGGCGAUAGCCUGACGCAGCCAUGCCGCGUGAAUGAUGAAGGUCUUAGGAUUGUAAAAUUCUUUCACCGGGGACGAUAAUGACGGUACCCGGAGAAGAAGCUCCGGCUAACUUCGUGCCAGCAGCCGCGGUAAUACGAAGGGGGCUAGCGUUGCUCGGAAUUACUGGGCGUAAAGGGCGCGUAGGCGGACAGCUUAGUCAGAGGUGAAAGCCCAGGGCUCAACCUUGGAAUUGCCUUUGAUACUGGCUGUCUUGAGUUUGGGAGAGGUGAGUGGAACUCCGAGUGUAGAGGUGAAAUUCGUAGAUAUUCGGAAGAACACCAGUGGCGAAGGCGACUCACUGGCCCAAUACUGACGCUGAGGCGCGAAAGCGUGGGGAGCAAACAGGAUUAGAUACCCUAGUAGUCC